CAUGCAAGUAGACGCACAGGAUACACCGUAGUUUACUACACCGUAUUCUGUGAGUUGCGAACGGGUGAGUAACGCGUAGGUAACCUGCCUGGUAGCGGGGGAUAACUAUUGGAAACGAUAGCUAAUACCGCAUAAGAACAUUUACUGCAUGGUAGAUGUUUAAAAGGUGCAAAUGCAUCACUACCAGAUGGACCUGCGUUGUAUUAGCUAGUAGGUGAGGUAACGGCUCACCUAGGCGACGAUACAUAGCCGACCUGAGAGGGUGAUCGGCCACACUGGGACUGAGACACGGCCCAGACUCCUACGGGAGGCAGCAGUAGGGAAUCUUCGGCAAUGGGGGGAACCCUGACCGAGCAACGCCGCGUGAGUGAAGAAGGUUUUCGGAUCGUAAAGCUCUGUUGUUAAGGAAGAACGAGUGUGAGAAUGGAAAGUUCAUACUGUGACGGUACUUAACCAGAAAGGGACGG
Molecule: ribosomal RNA, 467 nt
Filed under: Streptococcus intermedius
Lineage: Bacteria; Bacillati; Bacillota; Bacilli; Lactobacillales; Streptococcaceae
Description: bacterial SSU rRNA
Rfam family: Bacterial small subunit ribosomal RNA
Source: RNAcentral